Molecule: ribosomal RNA, 279 nt
Filed under: uncultured Caryophanaceae bacterium
Lineage: Bacteria; Bacillati; Bacillota; Bacilli; Caryophanales; Caryophanaceae
Description: uncultured Planococcaceae bacterium partial 16S ribosomal RNA
Rfam family: Bacterial small subunit ribosomal RNA
Source: RNAcentral
CCCUCGCCUCUAGUUGCCAGCAUUCGGUUGGGCACUCUAGAGGGACUGCCGGCGACAAGUCGGAGGAAGUGGGGAUGACGUCAAAUCAUCAUGCCCCUUAUGACCUGGGCUACACACGUGCUACAAUGGGCGGUACAAAGGGCUGCGAACCCGCGAGGGGGAGCGAAUCCCAAAAAAGCCGCUCUCAGUUCGGAUUGCAGGCUGCAACUCGCCUGCAUGAAGCCGGAAUCGCUAGUAAUCGCGGAUCAGCAUGCCGCGGUGAAUACGUUCCCGGGCCUC